RNAcentral lists this non-coding RNA (179 nucleotides) under Lachnospiraceae bacterium. Its description in RNAcentral is "6S RNA". It matches the Rfam family "6S / SsrS RNA". Rfam says of the family: E. coli 6S RNA was the first non coding RNA to be sequenced, but its function was unknown until recently. It consists of 184 nucleotides that fold into an extended hairpin structure with a large single-stranded internal bulge. Lineage: Bacteria; Bacillati; Bacillota; Clostridia; Lachnospirales; Lachnospiraceae. The record is from RNAcentral.
GGACUACUGGGGUGCAUGAUAACUCUUGUAAUUUUGAACCUACAUUUAUUUUUAUGGGAGACCGAUAUUUAUGAGCAGAUGUCAGGCCAGCAUAGACUGGAAGGCUGAAUCUUAUGUGUGGUUACCCACCUAGCUUGGCUAGGACUCAAAAUGCAGGAACCGGCAUUUCCGGUUGUUCU